GAUGAACGCUGGCGGUAUGCUUAACACAUGCAAGUCGAACGGUACCUUCGGGUAUAGUGGCGGACGGGUGAGUAACGCGUGAGAAUCUAUCUUCAGGUCGGGGACAACAGUUAGAAAUGACUGCUAAUACCGGAUGUGCCGAAAGGUAAAAGAUUUAUUGCCUGAAAAAGAGCUCGCGUCAGAUUAGCUAGUAGGUGGUGUAAGAGACUACCUAGGCUUCGAUCUGUAGCUGGUCUGAGAGGACGAUCAGCCACACUGGAACUGAGACACGGUCCAGACUCCUACGGGAGGCAGCAGUGGGGAAUUUUCCGCAAUGGGCGAAAGCCUGACGGAGCAAUACCGCGUGAGGGACGAAGGCUCUUGGGUCGUAAACCUCUUUUCUCAAGGAAGAUUCAGACGGUACUUGAGGAAUAAGCAGCGGCUAACUCUGUG
RNAcentral lists this ribosomal RNA (432 nucleotides) under uncultured bacterium. RNAcentral describes it as "partial 16S ribosomal RNA". It matches the Rfam family "Bacterial small subunit ribosomal RNA", at positions 28 to 507 of the family's 1533-position model. The record is from RNAcentral.